AAAUUGAAGAGUUUGAUCAUGGCUCAGAUUGAACGCUGGCGGCAGGCCUAACACAUGCAAGUCGAGCGGAAACGACAUUAACAAUCCUUCGGGUGCGUUAAUGGGCGUCGAGCGGCGGACGGGUGAGUAAUGCCUAGGAAAUUGCCUUGAUGUGGGGGAUAACCAUUGGAAACGAUGGCUAAUACCGCAUGAUGCCUACGGGCCAAAGAGGGGGACCUUCGGGCCUCUCGCGUCAAGAUAUGCCUAGGUGGGAUUAGCUAGUUGGUGAGGUAAUGGCUCACCAAGGCGACGAUCCC
Molecule: ribosomal RNA, 296 nt
Filed under: Vibrio cyclitrophicus
Lineage: Bacteria; Pseudomonadati; Pseudomonadota; Gammaproteobacteria; Vibrionales; Vibrionaceae
Description: partial 16S ribosomal RNA
Rfam family: Bacterial small subunit ribosomal RNA
Source: RNAcentral